RNAcentral lists this ribosomal RNA (1514 nucleotides) under metagenome. RNAcentral's name for it is "bacterial SSU rRNA". It matches the Rfam family "Bacterial small subunit ribosomal RNA". The record is from RNAcentral.
AGAGUUUGAUCCUGGCUCAGGACGAACGCUGGCGGCGUGCCUAACACAUGCAAGUCAAGGAGAAAGCUUUCUUCGGAGAGUGAUUAAACUGGCGGACGGGUGAGUAACGCGUAGGCAACCUGCCCCUUUGUUUGGGAUAACCCUGCGAAAGCGGGGCUAAUACCGGAUGUGGUCUUUUCCCCACCUGCGGAGAAGAUUAAAGCUGCUUUCGGGUAGCGCAAAGGGAUGGGCCUGCGUUCCAUUAGCUUGUUGGCAGGGUAACGGCCUACCAAGGCGACGAUGGAUAGCUGGUCUGAGAGGACGAUCAGCCACACUGGGACUGAGAUACGGCCCAGACUCCUACGGGAGGCAGCAGUGGGGAAUAUUGCGCAAUGCCCGCAAGGGUGACGCAGCGACGCCGCGUGGGUGAUGACGCACCACGGUGUGUAAAGCCCUGUCAGAAGGGAAGAACGGUUCAGGUUCGUAAGGGUCUGGAUGUGACGGUACCUUCAGAGGAAGCUCCGGCUAACUCCGUGCCAGCAGCCGCGGUAAUACGGGGGGAGCAAGCGUUGCCCGGAAUUACUGGGCGUAAAGGGCGUGUAGGCGGGCGAUCAAGUCAGAUGUAAAAGUCCACGGCUCAACCAUGGCAUGUCAUCUGAAACUGGUUGUCUUGAGUUCGAGAGAGGGUAGUGGAAUUCCAGGUGUAGCGGUGAAAUGCGUAGAUAUCUGGAAGAACACCGGAUGCGAAGGCGGCUACCUGGCUCGUAACUGACGCUGAGGCGCGAAAGCGUGGGGAGCAAACAGGAUUAGAUACCCUGGUAGUCCACGCUGUAAACGAUGGGCACUAGGUGUCGGGUCCGCCACAGGCGGAUUCGGUGCCGCAGCUAACGCACUAAGUGCCCCGCCUGGGGAGUACGCUCGCAAGGGUGAAACUCAAAGGAAUUGACGGGGGCCCGCACAAGCGGUGGAGCAUGUGGUUUAAUUCGAUGCAACGCGCAGAACCUUACCGGGGCUUGAACAUCUGGGUAAACCCUAUGAAAGUAGGGCUGCUCUUCGGAGCGACCCAGGAGAGGUGCUGCAUGGCUGUCGUCAGCUCGUGUCGUGAGAUGUUGGGUUAAGUCCCGCAACGAGCGCAACCCUUGCCCUUAGUUGCCAGCAGGUAAUGCUGGGCACUCUAAGGGGACUGCCGGUGAUAAACUGGAGGAAGGUGGGGAUGACGUCAAGUCCUCAUGGCCCUUACGUCCCGGGCUACACACGUGCUACAAUGGCCGGUACAACGGGUAGCAAGACCGCGAGGUGGAGCCAAUCCCUGAAAACCGGUCUCAGUUCAGAUUGCAGUCUGCAACUCGACUGCAUGAAGUCGGAAUCGCUAGUAAUCGCGGAUCAGCACGCCGCGGUGAAUACGUUCCCGGGCCUUGUACACACCGCCCGUCACGCCAUGGGAGUCGGCAGUACCCGAAGUCGGUGUCCGAACCUUUCGAGGAAGGAGCCGCCGAAGGUAAGGCCGGUGACUGGGGCGAAGUCGUAACAAGGUA